GGGGUGAAGCUGGCGCUGGACCUGGGUCUCAAGUUCGGAGGAGCACCGAGCGUGGGUGACCCCCACCCAGGAGCCCGCCUGUAGACCUCAACCCCACGUUCCGCGCGCCACCUGCUGGGGCUGUGGUGAGACCAGUAAGGAAACAUCCACUGCCCCACAUCUGGCUUCUCUGAUUCCAUAUUCUGGAGCUGUUGCUGAGCCUG
This 203-nucleotide long non-coding RNA is filed under the name Capra hircus (goat). RNAcentral's name for it is "lncRNA (ENSCHIG00010004528.1)". Lineage: Eukaryota; Metazoa; Chordata; Mammalia; Artiodactyla; Bovidae. The record is from RNAcentral.